RNAcentral lists this ribosomal RNA (497 nucleotides) under uncultured bacterium. RNAcentral describes it as "partial 16S ribosomal RNA". It matches the Rfam family "Bacterial small subunit ribosomal RNA", at positions 28 to 507 of the family's 1533-position model. The record is from RNAcentral.
GAUGAACGCUGGCGGCGUGCCUAAUACAUGCAAGUCGAGCGAACGGACGAGAAGCUUGCUUUUCUGAUGUUAGCGGCGGACGGGUGAGUAACACGUGGAUAACCUACCUAUAAGACUGGGAUAACUUCGGGAAACCGGAGCUAAUACCGGAUAAUAUUUUGAACCGCAUGGUUCAAAAGUGAAAGACGGUCUUGCUGUCACUUAUAGAUGGAUCCGCGCUGCAUUAGCUAGUUGGUAAGGUAACGGCUUACCAAGGCAACGAUGCAUAGCCGACCUGAGAGGGUGAUCGGCCACACUGGAACUGAGACACGGUCCAGGCUCCUACGGGAGGCAGCAGUAGGGAAUCUUCCGCAAAGGGCGAAAGCCUGACGGAGCAACGCCGCGUGAGUGAUGAAGGUCUUCGGAUCGUAAAACUCUGUUAUUAGGGAAGAACAUAUGUGUAAGUAACUGUGCACAUCUUGACGGUACCUAAUCAGAAAGCCACGGCUAACUACGUG